This 427-nucleotide ribosomal RNA is filed under the name uncultured bacterium. Its description in RNAcentral is "partial 16S ribosomal RNA". It matches the Rfam family "Bacterial small subunit ribosomal RNA", at positions 355 to 774 of the family's 1533-position model. The record is from RNAcentral.
UGGGGAAUAUUGCACAAUGGGCGCAAGCCUGAUGCAGCCAUGCCGCGUGUAUGAAGAAGGCCUUCGGGUUGUAAAGUACUUUCAGCGGGGAGGAAGGGAGUAAAGUUAAUACUUUUGCUCAUUGACGUUACCCGCAGAAGAAGCACCGGCUAACUCCGUGCCAGCAGCCGCGGUAAUACGGAGGGUGCAAGCGUUAAUCGGAAUUACUGGGCGUAAAGCGCACGCAGGCGGUUUGUUAAGUCAGAUGUGAAAUCCCCGGGCUCAACCUGGGAACUGCAUCUGAUACUGGCAAGCUUGAGUCUCGUAGAGGGGGGUAGAAUUCCAGGUGUAGCGGUGAAAUGCGUAGAGAUCUGGAGGAAUACCGGUGGCGAAGGCGGCCCCCUGGACGAAGACUGACGCUCAGGUGCGAAAGCGUGGGGAGCAAACA